CUAUUAUAGCUUUCGUACUUCCUGCAUCUUGCACUCUUCUAACUUUCAGGAUCUAACCGCCAUACAAAACAAAUUCCUCCGCCUCCUAGUUUACUGUCUCGUCUACAGCAGUCAGCAUCCAGUGCCUCUAACUGUACCCAAGAACGGGUUGAGAAUACAUAUGCAUCCGGUACAAGUUACACGCAGGCCUCAUCUCCAAGAAUAUCUGCCCUCCCGACCUUCCACCCAUCACCUGCUGUGCCCUCUACUAGACAAUCCUAUUCAAUGCGCAACCCGGCCCCCAUACUAGAACAGGAAAUGUCCGGACGAGGUUCCCGAUAUAAUGGUUUGAAUACCUUCGUACCUAUAUCUUAGAAUACCUUGUUCAG
Ornithodoros turicata is the source of this 368-nucleotide long non-coding RNA. RefSeq lists it as uncharacterized. Lineage: Eukaryota; Metazoa; Arthropoda; Arachnida; Ixodida; Argasidae. The transcript has 3 exons. The record is from RefSeq and is a predicted model, not a curated record.